This 404-nucleotide ribosomal RNA is filed under the name uncultured bacterium. Its description in RNAcentral is "bacterial SSU rRNA". It matches the Rfam family "Bacterial small subunit ribosomal RNA", at positions 355 to 776 of the family's 1533-position model. The record is from RNAcentral.
UGGGGAAUCUUAGACAAUGGGCGCAAGCCUGAUCUAGCCAUGCCGCGUGAGUGAUGAAGGUCUUAGGAUCGUAAAGCUCUUUCGCUGGGGAAGAUAAUGACGGUACCCAGUAAAGAAACCCCGGCUAACUCCGUGCCAGCAGCCGCGGUAAUACGGAGGGGGUUAGCGUUGUUCGGAAUUACUGGGCGUAAAGCGCACGUAGGCGGAUCGGAAAGUUGGGGGUGAAAUCCCGGGGCUCAACCUCGGAACUGCCUUCAAAACUAUCGGUCUAGAGUUCGAGAGAGGUGAGUGGAAUUGCGAGUGUAGAGGUGAAAUUCGUAGAUAUUCGCAGGAACACCAGUGGCGAAGGCGGCUCACUGGCUCGAUACUGACGCUGAGGUGCGAAAGUGUGGGGAGCAAACAGG